RNAcentral lists this ribosomal RNA (253 nucleotides) under uncultured bacterium. RNAcentral describes it as "partial 16S ribosomal RNA". It matches the Rfam family "Bacterial small subunit ribosomal RNA", at positions 524 to 776 of the family's 1533-position model. The record is from RNAcentral.
UACGGAGGGUGCAGGCGUUGUUCGGAUUUACUGGGCGUAAAGCGCGCGCAGGUGGGUGAACAAGUCGGAAGUGAAAUCUUGAGGCUCAACCUCGAGGCUGCUCCCGAAACUGUUCGCCUAGGGACUGGUAGAGGCUGGUAGAAUUCCCGGUGUAGCGGUGGAAUGCGUAGAGAUCGGGAAGAAUACCUGUGGCGAAGGCGGCCAGCUGGGCCAGAUCCGACACUGAGGCGCGAAAGCGUGGGGAGCAAACAGG